This 375-nucleotide ribosomal RNA is filed under the name Mantella cf. betsileo 'Kirindy'. RNAcentral's name for it is "partial 12S ribosomal RNA". It matches the Rfam family "Bacterial small subunit ribosomal RNA", at positions 852 to 1400 of the family's 1533-position model. The record is from RNAcentral. Lineage: Eukaryota; Metazoa; Chordata; Amphibia; Anura; Mantellidae.
UUUACACCAACAAGCGCCAGAGAAUUACGAGCGCAAGCUUAAAAUUCAAAGGAUUUGACGGUAUCCCACCCACCUAGAGGAGCCUGUUCUAUAAUCGAUAAUCCUCGAUACACCCAACCAUUUCUUGCUUUUCAGCCUGUAUACCUCCGUCGCAAGCUUACCAUUUGAAUGUAAUAAAGUAAGUUUAAGGAUYCCCCCAUCAACACKUCAGGUCAAGGUGCAGCCAAUGUAAUGGAAAGUAAUGGGCUACAAUUUCUAUAAUAGAACAAACGAAACWCUGCAUGAAAAACAGUCAUGAAGGCGGAUUUAGUAGUAAAAGGAGAAUAGAGAGCUCCUUUUAACAAGGCUCUGGGAUGUGUACACACCGCCCGUCAC